UAUGUGUGUGUGUGUGUGUCUGUGUGCUGUGUGUACAACUUACACACACACACACACACACACACAAACUCAAGAGCCUCAUAU
This 84-nucleotide microRNA precursor is filed under the name Mustela putorius furo (domestic ferret). Its description in RNAcentral is "miRNA (ENSMPUG00000022470.1)". Lineage: Eukaryota; Metazoa; Chordata; Mammalia; Carnivora; Mustelidae. The record is from RNAcentral.